Long non-coding RNA from Dermacentor albipictus, 1628 nucleotides. RefSeq lists it as uncharacterized. The record is from RefSeq and is a predicted model, not a curated record. Lineage: Eukaryota; Metazoa; Arthropoda; Arachnida; Ixodida; Ixodidae.
AAAGCGAUACCAUACGCAUCGAGUGAGCUACUUCCUUCAGUGCGCCUCUGCGUCUACACGUCCUGCAUCUCUUGUCUGCGUGGAACAAUUUGCAUGUAGUUUGGUUUGCACUAGCAUUUAUCUGCUACCAAGAGCGCUGUCGUCAAAUACGGCUGCUGCAUACUCAAGCUUUGCAACUUUGCGCCUGUGCUACAACGGCGUCGGCUCUCAGCGGAUUGGCGCUGCUUCAAGAUUGUUUAUCAAAAGAAUGGCGCAAGGGGUCUCUCUGGGCAAAAACAAGAUCUGAUGACUGGUCGCGUCGCAUCGUCCUAGAAGAAUUCGCGGACAGCGACUGAAGGAAAAUUUUCCGCUUGACCCGGGCUUCAUUUCAUGAGCUUGUCUCUCUUAUGGGAGAUUAUAUGUCACCGAAAUCUGGCUGGGUGUGAGCUGCCUUGUUCCUGGAAAAGAGAGUGGCCAUUGCAUUGUACAAGCUAGCCAGUUGCUGUGAAUACAGGAAUGUUGCAAACCAAUUUCGCGUGCACAAAAGUACUGUAAAAAAGUGUUUUUACAUGUUGUGCCAUGCACUUAAGAAGCAUUACUUGAAGACAUUCAUAAUGCUACCAUCAGCCCAAGAAGGCACAGCAAUAGCCAGAAGAUUUGAGCUCAGGUGCCAUUUGCUCAAAUUUUGGGGGCGAUUGAUGCGACUGGCAUUCCAAUAAUUGCCGCGAAAAAAGGCUACGGAGACUUCGUAAACAGGAAGGGUAGGACAUCGUACAACGUACAAGCCAUAGUGGAUUACAGAGGCCUGUUUCGCAGCAACACUUGCAACGCCUGGAUCAGCGCAUGAUGCCACUGUGCUGAAGUUGUCCAACUUGUACCGGAGGAGCAACGACAUGCUGUCCCAGGAAGAAAGAACCUUGCGUGGCUUCCAGAUACCGUUUUUGCUGCUUGGCAACCCUGCAUACCUAUGUUUGCCAUGGAUUUUCAAAGGCUAUACAGGGGCACUCUCUAAGGAACAGGAGUCAUUUAACGUUUACCACAGUUCAAGCCGCAAUGUAGUGGAACACGCAUUUGGGUGGCUAAAGGGAAGAUGGCGCAUACUUUCAAAAUGUGCAGAUACCAUCUACAAGUUUAUGCCAACCGUAAUAGCAGCGAUAUGUAUACUGCACAAUUUCUGUGAACAAAGGCGGGAAAGCCUCACAGAUGCAUGGCUGUCAUCUCUUUAAGAUACGGAGCAAAACGUCUAUGCACAGCCGUCUAGCAGUCCUCGGGACCUGAAGGCCGCCUAUGCUAUGAGAUACUUUUGAAGCAGUUCAUGACAGAAUAAUUGCCUUUGCGCUGUGAUUCAUGGUAGAACAUUGCUAAAGGCCACUAUGUUAACAAGGCAAUUGUUAACACAUUGUUAACAUGUACCUAAGCAGAAGUACACUGGUCCUGUCUUAGACAACGAACUGCAAUGCACCCAUAAAAGUGAAAGUGGGAAGCAGUUAUUCAUUACUGAACUUGCACCACGUUUGGAGAUGACAUGCUAUGUGUUCAAAUUAUAAGGUGGUUGUGAGGAACAUAAGAAGUUCCUAUGGUCAAGAUUUUCAUUUCACCUUCAAAAUUUCAGAUAAAAUGCGACAAAGUUUGAGAAUAAAAUGUUUAUU